RNAcentral lists this transfer RNA (69 nucleotides) under Geminicoccus sp. Its description in RNAcentral is "tRNA-Arg". It matches the Rfam family "tRNA". Rfam says of the family: Transfer RNA (tRNA) molecules are approximately 80 nucleotides in length. Their secondary structure includes four short double-helical elements and three loops (D, anti-codon, and T loops). Further hydrogen bonds mediate the characteristic L-shaped molecular structure. tRNAs have two regions of fundamental functional importance: the anti-codon, which is responsible for specific mRNA codon recognition, and the 3' end, to which the tRNAs corresponding amino acid is attached (by aminoacyl-tRNA synthetases). tRNAs cope with the degeneracy of the genetic code in two manners: having more than one tRNA (with a specific anti-codon) for a particular amino acid; and 'wobble' base-pairing, i.e. permitting non-standard base-pairing at the 3rd anti-codon position. Lineage: Bacteria; Pseudomonadati; Pseudomonadota; Alphaproteobacteria; Geminicoccales; Geminicoccaceae. The record is from RNAcentral.
ACCAUUAGCUCAGCUGGAUAGAGCGCUGCCCUCCGAAGGCAGAGGCCAGAGGUUCGAAUCCUCUAUGGU